Molecule: long non-coding RNA, 418 nt
Filed under: Mytilus galloprovincialis (Mediterranean mussel)
Lineage: Eukaryota; Metazoa; Mollusca; Bivalvia; Mytilida; Mytilidae
Source: RNAcentral
UUAUCAACUUUAAACAUGGUAUUUAAUUUCGAUCCCAAUAAUUUUGGGAUUGCUUCCUACUGAGAGUGGUUUUUGAAAUCAAGCGCUUGAGAUAAAACAAAAAAAAUCCAGAGCCAUUAAUUUUAAGUCCAGCGCUGCAGAUUUCAAAUCCAUCCACUGCUAAAGAUUUAAAAUCAAGCAAUUGAGAUACAAAGUCGUGCGCUGUGUAGAUAUAAAGUCGACCACUGGAUUUGUUACAUCCUGAGCGCUUGAGCUGAAAUGUUAAGAUGUGUACUUUAGAUCUUCAGCGCUUGACUUUAAAUCUUUGAAUCUGUACGAACUCUUUUCACUAAAAAUCUUAAGUGUUACAUGCAUCUUACAUGUAAGUCUAAAAUAUUCCUUAACAAUUCAACUAAACAUUUUUGUCGUAAGAUUAAUU